This 502-nucleotide ribosomal RNA is filed under the name uncultured bacterium. RNAcentral's name for it is "bacterial SSU rRNA". It matches the Rfam family "Bacterial small subunit ribosomal RNA", at positions 29 to 526 of the family's 1533-position model. The record is from RNAcentral.
AACGAACGCUGGCGGCGUGGAUAAGACAUGCAAGUCGAACGAGAAGACACGAAGCUUGCUUUGUGAAUUCUAGUGGCGAACGGGUGAGUAACACGUGAGCAACCUGCCCUGAAGAGGGGGAUAGCCCGGGGAAACUCGGAUUAAUACCGCAUGUGACCGUAAGGUUAAAGGUGGCUUCGGCUGCCGCUUCAGGAUGGGCUCGCGGCCUAUCAGCUUGUUGGUGAGGUAACGGCUCACCAAGGCGACGACGGGUAGCUGGUCUGAGAGGAUGAUCAGUCACACUGGAACUGAGACACGGUCCAGACACCUACGGGUGGCAGCAGUCGAGAAUCAUUCGCAAUGGGGGAAACCCUGACGGUGCGACGCCGCGUGGAGGAUGAAGGCCCUCGGGUCGUAAACUCCUGUCAUCAGAGAGUAAUGGCUUACUAUUAAUAGUAGUGGGUCUUGAUAGUAUCUGAAGAGGAAGGGACGGCUAACUUCGUGCCAGCCGCCGCCGUAACAC